Molecule: long non-coding RNA, 574 nt
Filed under: Linum usitatissimum (flax)
Lineage: Eukaryota; Viridiplantae; Streptophyta; Magnoliopsida; Malpighiales; Linaceae
Description: long non-coding RNA (LUSI_LNC007586)
Source: RNAcentral
AAUGCUACCGCCGCUUUCCCAACCAGAACUUCUCUCUCUCCGGCGCAAGACCUCCGCCUGCCCCUUCCCGCUCCCAUCAUAACAACCCUUCCUCCUCCUCCUCCUCCUCUUCCGCCGCCGCCGCCGUAGCAGCUCUCGCCCAACCCGCAGCUCCUUCCUUCUCUCCCAUCCACUCCCCCAAGUCCGAACUCGCCGCCAAUUUCUCGGGUCGAAGCUCCACCCGGGUCGUCUCCAAGUUCCAUCUUGGCCGACCCAGGUCAACGGCCGGCUCCCGCCACUCUCAAAUCUCCGAGGAGGCGCUUCGGCAGGUGAUCGAUUACGGGAAAGACGAAUUGACGAUUGAGAACGUGCUGCUCGCCUUCGAGUCACGCCUCUGCAGCUCGGCUGUCUAUAUCUACAUGCUCCGGGAGCUUGGGUGCAGCUGCUCGCCUUCGAGUCACGCCUCUGCAGCUCGGAUGACUAUAUCUACAUGCUCCGGGAGCUUGGCAACAAUGGGGAUUGGGGGAGGGCACUGUGCUGCUUCGAGUUCGCCAUCAAGAGGGAAAAAAGGAAGCUGGGGAAGGGGAAAUUAGCG